GGAUGGGUGCUGGGGAGGGAUCAGGGGGUGGAGGGUACAAGGUUGGGAAUUGCAGGGAGGGUUUUUGGAGUUAAAAGUUGAAGAGAAGGCUGUUUGGGAGCUGUCCCCUUUGGGCAAGUAAAGGCAGGGGGUUACUCUUCAGCACAACACUAGCGCGUGCCAGGCAGGGCAGCUCCAGGCUGUGUGUGUGUCAUUGCAUAGCUCGCGUGGUGCGUCGUCUCCUGUGUCUCAGACCCUCCUUGGGUCCCACGCUCCUCUUUGUGCUCCAGGAGCACAGCACUCGUCAUCAUCCGCAUCCAUCAUUGUGCCUCAUCCUUAGGUCUUUACCAUCCAUGCUCAUCAUCAUAUGCCGAUCGGGUGCAUCUCUUCUUGCCUUACCCCAAAAGCACAGCUCGGCCUCGUGACUUGGGCGCAUCCUCUUUUGCGCCAAGGUCGUGGUUGGUGUCAUCAGCACCAGCCUGGAGCCUUCUCUUUCACAGGGAGGCCUUUUUCUGGGUGUUUCUCCCUGAGUCCUUGCGUUCUUAGGUCUUAGCAAGGCUUUUUGUGCAUCCAUCAGUUUUGGUUUUGACUGUAGCUUCUUGUCACAGAUUGUGAUGUUUGACGCUUUCUCUGAGGCUGCCUUAUGGUCUUUUUACUGCUGAAAUAAAAAAAUUGAUUGUUUAUGGGAAUAUUUGGAUCAAUAUGUUAAUUAAAGGCAUAUAGUUCACACUGAAUACAUGUUAAAGAUUGGGCAAACUGACAACUGCUUGACCCAAGUGACUUGACUUUUGGGAUGACUUGUGACUUGACUUACUGUGAGUAGCUGGAGUGAUAAGGCCUUAGGCUGCAAUUCUAAUUAAUAUUUAGCUGAACUUGCUGUAAUGAACCUUAGUUAGAAUUUCACUCUACCAGCUGUAAUAAUAUUGAAACAAGAUGUAGACAACAAGAUAAUUACUUGGAAUAAUCUUCUGCAAUGGGAAGAGGCGUUGACGAAAUUUAAGUUGGAUAAAUUGGACAAAAUCAGACUGUGGAAGAAUUUUCCAGCUGCGAAACAAGUGGAAGAGGACAAAGAGAAAUUGUCCAGACAAGAAAUCACUGAUGGUGAACGGGCACCCUCAGAGGAGGACAGAACCCAUCAGAAUGGGAUGAUGUCAUCACUGUGGGAGGUAAUAGGAUGAACAGGUGCAUGUACCAGCAUGUGGUCAGACUGUGAGCCUUUAAAAGGUACAAAUACAGUCCAGGUGGGGUCACUCUCCAGAGGCACCCAGCUACAGCUGCAAUUAACAGAUUCUGUGGCAGAACCCAGGGUCUGAGCUUCUCUUUAUGGUCAGAGGCAAAGAUGGGAUCCAGCUGCACCUAAGCUUCUUCCUGAGACGAAGUUUAGAAACCAAGGAGGUCCUGUCUGAACUGCACAACUUGACAGGAGGGACUUCCUGGACUCUUCAACUGUUACCUCAUGCUCGCAGUCCUAUAUGUCUGGGUGCCAUCUGCGUUGCAGGAGUAACUUUUCUUGCUGGGAGUUUCCUCUCAUGCUUGUGUCACAUCCUUUGUGUUUGUGUGUUGUGUCUCUGUGCUGUUGGGUUGGAGCUGCUCUCUCUGGAGGCUGUAGCAGCUGUGGGGUUGGGAGAAGAAUAGCAAGGAGAGCCUGUGGUUCAUGUUGCUGUGCUGCCUGUGCCUGUUGGGGUGCAGAUGGAGCAUUUGAAGUGAAGUAGCAGCCCUCAGCAGGGGAGGGUAGUCAUUUUCAUAGUGUUUUUGAGAAGGGGUGGCUGGAGCCAUAGCCAAGCAGGCUGGGUGUCCAGGGUGUUAAGGCCUGAAUGUGUGGGGUGUAAUGUUCACCUGUUUUUUAGCUCCCUUGUAGGUAGUUAGGAUCUCAAAGAUGUUCCUAAAUGGGAAUCUCUGGAAUUGCAUCCAGCUGAUUGCUUGUUACUGCUUUUUCAGAUGCAGGGAGAGGAGCCACGCAGCAGAGGGUGAUGGAGGAGAGGAGCAGAGCGUGGUGAGGAGCUGGGUCGGUGCGUAUUGAAGAGUCUGGGUGAGUUGUCCCCUGGGUUGUGAGGGAAGGUGUGAGUGGUGCCUCUAUCGACUGGCUCAUGGUUUGGGUUUGUUUUGUAGGUGCAAAGCACCGAGGGAAGCGGGAGAUCUGCACUGGAGGUGACUCAAGCAAGGCAGCACACAGGGCUGGACGUGGCACCCUGUGACCAUCAGAGGACGGACAGGUGAGCCACGAAGUUUUGCAGCCUUGGAGCAGUGGAGCAGCAUGCCAAGGGGCCAUCUGUGGAGAUGACACAGGCAUCAGCCAGAUGCUACAAGCAAGGAUGGCCUCAGCAUCUGAUUCUGGAACCAGCAGAUCACUAUGAGGAGCCUGGCGAUGGCAGGAACAUCCCGGCAAGGAUGGCUUGUCGAGGAGGAAGGCUGCGGAGCCCUGGCCAUCUGAAAGCUAAGUGGAGGGGCUGGGA
Molecule: long non-coding RNA, 2432 nt
Organism: Apus apus (common swift)
Lineage: Eukaryota; Metazoa; Chordata; Aves; Apodiformes; Apodidae
Exons: 5
Source: RefSeq, a predicted model, not a curated record